GUCCCUAUAGCUCAGUGGUAGAGCGUCAGUCUUGUAAAUUGUGAAGGCCUGUAGUUCGAUCCUACAUGGGGGCA
This 74-nucleotide transfer RNA is filed under the name Ipomoea nil (Japanese morning glory). It matches the Rfam family "tRNA". Rfam says of the family: Transfer RNA (tRNA) molecules are approximately 80 nucleotides in length. Their secondary structure includes four short double-helical elements and three loops (D, anti-codon, and T loops). Lineage: Eukaryota; Viridiplantae; Streptophyta; Magnoliopsida; Solanales; Convolvulaceae. The record is from Rfam by way of RNAcentral.